AGCUCCAAUAGCGUAUACUAAUGUUGUUGCAGUUAAAAAGCUCGUAGUCGGACUCCAGUGUAUCUAUGUGAAUUCUUAUAGAAGUCAACAUGGGUAUACUAUUCGGCAGAAACGUUCAUAUCAUUCAUUUGUUAUGAUUGGGGACUGCCUUAUUUACUUUGAGAAAAUUAGAGUGUUCAAAGCAGGUAUCUGCCUGGAUAUUACUCUUGGAAUAAUAAUAUAGAAUCUUGGUUCUAGUUUGUUGGUGAUCUAGAAUUGAGGUAAUGAUCUAUAGGGACGGUUGGGGUCAUUCAUACUGCGAAGCGAGAGGUGAAAUUCUUGGACCUUCGUAAGAUGGACAACUGCGAAAGCAUUUGACUAGGACGUUCCCG
Molecule: ribosomal RNA, 371 nt
Filed under: uncultured eukaryote
Lineage: Eukaryota
Description: SSU rRNA
Rfam family: Eukaryotic small subunit ribosomal RNA
Source: RNAcentral